CUUCUUCAUCUCUUAACCCCAAGAGACCAAAACCCUAGUCUCCCUCUCACCCCUCGCGGACUCCGCCUCUUUCCGCCGCCCGAAAUUCGCCUUACGGCGACCGAGUACCUCCAAACCGCCUCAAAUUCACACCUCGUAAUCCCUAGCUCCCUUGCUUCACUAAUCCACCAACAUUUUUACCAAAAACCCCACUAAAUUCCACCAAUUUCAAAUCUAAAAACUAUACCCAAAAAUCCUAAGUCGUCCAAACAACCUCAAAAUAACACCAGAUGACCCUCAACCAUCCCUCACCACUCUCUACUCUUGAUUUCCCAAAAAUCCCCGCCCAAUUCUUCGAGUCCCAAAUCUGUAAAAAACCAGAAACCCUAGUUCUAUUUUUUCCCUUUUUCACAUUUCUUCGGAUUGUUUCCAGACUCGGCUUAGUUGAAAAACCAUGCUAAUAAAUCGUUCUCAAUAAUAACGGUUGGUUAGAAUAUUCUUUAGCUAUAUCAAAGAAGUUCCGACUUGCCAGAUCCCUCCU
Molecule: long non-coding RNA, 520 nt
Filed under: Nicotiana benthamiana
Lineage: Eukaryota; Viridiplantae; Streptophyta; Magnoliopsida; Solanales; Solanaceae
Description: long non-coding RNA (NBEN_LNC042505)
Source: RNAcentral